CGUGCGAACCGUGAGCGUCCGUGGAAACAAAAAAGAGCUCCCAAUUUUCUUAAUUGGCUCCAGGACAGGACGUUUUCGGGAGAAGAUAGCACCUCCACCAUCUGCACAAGAGUCCCCUCCCAUCACCAGCUUCCGCCAAUUGAGUCUUGGGAGCACCAAUCCCUCCAAGCCCAGUGUUGGUGACCUAAGGACUGAGGACAAGGAGUUCAGCUCAGAUCAGGAACUUGCUGAAAGAAGACCCCACCGGUAGCUCAUGCAGACUCAGUGAAACUUUGCAGGCACCAGUGCUGGAAUGUUCCAGUACCUUAGACCAGCAUCAGGGAACCUUCCAGAGGGGAAGUCAAGCAGCUUGCCCACCCAUGAGAAGAGUUUGAAGAGUUUCAAGCAGGAGAAACAAAAUCUGUGAAGGUGACGAGAGUGACCAAACCUGCAGGCCAGACUUCAAGCUCUUUGAAAGAAAAAAACACAUCUCAUCUUUAUGUUCUUCCUGGCACCUCUGAGAGACGUGGAGAGACUCAGGACGACUUGUGGACACUGCAAGUGAAGCUGGUGGGUCGUGGUUCAGGGCCGUCAUGGAUGCAGGUGCGUUUACCUUUGACUGAAGACAGAAGUGCCUUCUCAGGGAUGGCUGUCGGUUGGUCUUGUCCACGUCAUACAGGAGGGAGGUGAUCUCACUGGGAUUACCACCUCCCCACCUGACGCCGCCCCCCAGCCAGGCAGGCCAGCCUGCUUAGCCCCGA
Long non-coding RNA from Myotis lucifugus (little brown bat), 740 nucleotides. RefSeq lists it as uncharacterized. Lineage: Eukaryota; Metazoa; Chordata; Mammalia; Chiroptera; Vespertilionidae. The transcript has 4 exons. The record is from RefSeq and is a predicted model, not a curated record.